RNAcentral lists this ribosomal RNA (254 nucleotides) under uncultured bacterium. RNAcentral's name for it is "partial 16S ribosomal RNA". It matches the Rfam family "Bacterial small subunit ribosomal RNA", at positions 524 to 776 of the family's 1533-position model. The record is from RNAcentral.
UACGUAGGGCGCAAGCGUUAUCCGGAAUUAUUGGGCGUAAAGAGCUCGUAGGCGGCCUGUUGCGUCCGCUGUGAAAGCCCGGGGCUUAACCCCGGGUCGGCAGUGGAUACGGGCAGGCUAGAGGUAGGUAGGGGAGAAUGGAAUUCCCGGUGUAGCGGUGAAAUGCGCAGAUAUCGGGAGGAACACCGGUGGCGAAGGCGGUUCUCUGGGCGAUGUCCUGACGCUGAGGAGCGAAAGUGUGGGGAGCGAACAGG